UAUGAUCUGAAGUCAGGUGGGAUUACCCG
RNAcentral lists this ribosomal RNA (29 nucleotides) under Rhizopus arrhizus. RNAcentral's name for it is "Rhizopus oryzae partial 28S large subunit ribosomal RNA". The record is from RNAcentral. Lineage: Eukaryota; Fungi; Mucoromycota; Mucoromycetes; Mucorales; Rhizopodaceae.